This is a long non-coding RNA of Octodon degus (degu), 229 nucleotides long. RefSeq lists it as uncharacterized. The record is from RefSeq and is a predicted model, not a curated record. NCBI's taxonomy places the organism in Eukaryota, Metazoa, Chordata, Mammalia, Rodentia, Octodontidae. The transcript has 3 exons.
AGAUGUAUUUAGAGGGGAAUGCUGCUGCACCACAAAAUAAUGCUACUGCCUUCAAAUACUUUUCCAUGGCAGCUAAUAAGGGUAAUGCAAUUGGUCUUCAUGGACUUGGUGUCCUUUACUUUUAUGGAAAAGGAGUUUCAGUGAAUUAUGCCGAAUCACUGAAGUACUUUCAGAAAGCUGCAGAGAAAGGAUGGCCCAAUGCACAGUUCCAUUUCGGCUUCAUGUACUA